Dipodomys ordii (Ord's kangaroo rat) is the source of this 72-nucleotide non-coding RNA. The record is from Rfam. NCBI's taxonomy places the organism in Eukaryota, Metazoa, Chordata, Mammalia, Rodentia, Heteromyidae.
GUGAAUGUAGCUUAGUGGUAGAGUGCUUGUCUACCAUGCAUGAAGCCCUGGGUUCAAUUCCUCAGUACCACA